Molecule: transfer RNA, 65 nt
Filed under: Ornithodoros turicata
Lineage: Eukaryota; Metazoa; Arthropoda; Arachnida; Ixodida; Argasidae
Description: tRNA-Gly
Source: RNAcentral
UAUUUUAUUAGUAUAAAUAGUACAUCUAAUUUCCAAUUAGAAAGUUUUUUUUAAAAAUAAAAUAA